Molecule: ribosomal RNA, 558 nt
Filed under: uncultured bacterium
Lineage: Bacteria
Description: bacterial SSU rRNA
Rfam family: Bacterial small subunit ribosomal RNA
Source: RNAcentral
ACGGGUGAGUAACACGUGGAUUAUCUGCCUCUUGGUUCGGAAUAACCCCGGGAAACUGGGGCUAAUACCGAAUGGUUCCUACGGGAUAAAGAUUUAUCGCCAAGAGAUGAGUCCGCGUCCGAUUAGCUAGUUGGUGGGGUAACGGCCUACCAAGGCGACGAUCGGUAGCUGGUCUGAGAGGACGAUCAGCCACACUGGGACUGAGACACGGCCCAGACUCCUACGGGAGGCAGCAGUGGGGAAUAUUGGACAAUGGGGGCAACCCUGAUCCAGCCAUGCCGCGUGAGUGGUGAAGGCCUUCGGGUUGUAAAGCUCUUUUGGCGGGGACGAUGAUGACGGUACCCGCAGAAUAAGCCCCGGCUAACUUCGUGCCAGCAGCCGCGGUAAGACGAAGGGGGCUAGCGUUGUUCGGAAUUACUGGGCGUAAGGCGCGUGUAGGCGGUUGUUCAAGUCGGGUGUGAAAGCCUUGAGCUCAACUCAAGAAAUGCACUCGAUACUGGAUGACUUGAGGACCGGAGAGGAUAGUGGAAUUCCCAGUGUAGUGGUGAAAUACGUAGA